Molecule: ribosomal RNA, 508 nt
Filed under: uncultured bacterium
Lineage: Bacteria
Description: partial 16S ribosomal RNA
Rfam family: Bacterial small subunit ribosomal RNA
Source: RNAcentral
GAUGAACGCUAGCUACAGGCUUAACACAUGCAAGUCGAGGGGAAACGAUAUUGGAAGCUUGCUUCCGAUAGGCGUCGACCGGCGCACGGGUGAGUAACGCGUAUCCAACCUGCCCAUCACUUGGGGAUAACCUUGCGAAAGUAAGACUAAUACCCAAUGACGUCUCUAGAAGACAUCUGAAAGAGAUUAAAGAUUUAUCGGUGAUGGAUGGGGAUGCGUCUGAUUAGCUUGUUGGCGGGGUAACGGCCCACGAAGGCGACGAUCAGUAGGGGAUCUGAGAGGAAAGUCCCCCACAUUGGAACUGAGACACGGUCCAAACUCCUACGGGAGGCAGCAGUAAGGAAUAUUGGUCAAUGGGCGCGAGCCUGAACCAGCCAAGUGGCGUGCAGGAUGACGGCCCUAUGGGUUGUAAACUGCUUUUAUAAGGGAAUAAAGUGAGCCACGUGUGGCUUUUUGCAUGUACCUUAUGAAUAAGGACCGGCUAAUUCCGUGCCAGCCGCCGCGGUAA